Columba livia (rock pigeon) is the source of this 817-nucleotide long non-coding RNA. RefSeq lists it as uncharacterized. Lineage: Eukaryota; Metazoa; Chordata; Aves; Columbiformes; Columbidae. The record is from RefSeq and is a predicted model, not a curated record. The transcript has 2 exons.
CCCCCAUCCCGGCAUGCAGCUCGCCCGCAGCCCGCCGGUCCUGUGCCCCACCAGGCCCCGGCACAGGCCCCGGGCUCGCGGCUGCCGCGCGAAGGAGCCGGGGCGGUCGCGCAGCUCAGCGGGCGCCGGGGGGCCCGGGCCCAGCCCCGGUCAGCGCGGAGCAGCCGCGGCCUGUUGUCCUCAGCGCCACGCUCGCAGUCCGAACUUGUCCCGGAAAAGAGGCGGUUUAAGCGAAACCUCGCGGACGCGGCUGUCGCAGUUGGCUGAUACAUUUGAACGGCGGUCAGCGAGAUUCUCUAGACCGUUUCAAUACAGUCGGACAGCAAAAAAAUACUUGAGAAUCCUGCACUGUGAGAGAAACGACGUGCAACCUGGCAGCAUUCUGGCGGCGCGGAACGCAGCACCGCGAGGCGGCAAAGGGCAGCAGGCGCCGUGCCCCGCCGAGCGGGAGCGCCCGCGCGCUGCUCCCGGCGCGGGGAGUCACGCCCGACCCGCCGCCGGCACCAGCAGAGGCGAGGUGCCUGCUUUCACCUCCCUUCCUUCUCAGGGGUUGUCCCAGGUGGCUUUAAGUAGGUGAUAGUGUUUCGUCCUGGUCCCUGCCUGGUCGUAGCGAUGCGGUUUACUGUCCUGGGAGAUGGGCAAAGCGAUGCCCGGUGCAGGGCUGCGCAGCGUGCCUGUCCUCAGAAGCGUAUUUCAUCCCUUCGCCCCAUUGCCUGUGCUCUUUAACGUGUGAUUUUAGCCCUGAUGUGGCACACAGAUAAAAUACUGAACAGAUUCUGAGACACAUUAUUAUAUCAAUAAAAGGUUCCAGACAGUU